CUCCUGCCUAGGCUGACAGCUCAGGCCCAGCUGCUGCUGGGGACCACCCCCAUCAUCGGAAAAACACUGGAGAAUGACUAAGAUCAAAUGUCUUUCUACCGUGUGGGGGAGGGGGGGCUCCAGCAAGCAUUCCCAGACAGACGGAGCAGCCAAGGACCUGGGAGCGUGUCUCCUAGGAUACAGAUUCAGCAAGGCUGGGAGUGUCUGAGGUCGCACAGCACAACAGCAGUGGCAGAGCUGGGACAGGGGACCCCAGGGCUCUGCCACUGCGUCAGGUCCUGCUCCCCAUCCCUUGUAAGGGGUUGCCGUGCAGACAGUGGAAAGCCCUGGGAAGCCAUUACUCAGAGUGUGGGUCCCCAGGGCCUCCUUGGGCCAGCCAGGCUGCUGCAAACACAGACAGGAAGCAAGCCUGAUGCCCCUCCACCCUCAGACAGUGUGGUGAGGCCUGGACACGUGCAAGCCUCCAGCAACUCAUUUUUCUGAGUGACCUCAGACAGACGGCCCUCUGUGUAAAGCCACCACGGGGCCUGCUCAGGGCCAUCUUCCUCCCUGGUCAGAGGGGUCAGCCGCUUGGGGUGGCCCAGACCUCAGAGUGGGAGAUAGAUAGGGUUAAAGGCCUGCGUGGCUAGGGCAUAUGCCUUUAGGCCAGUCGUGUCUCUCUCAGAGCCUUGGGCUUCUUAUCUGACAAUGGGGUACUGACUCCAGUCCCACAGAGCACGUUGAUGAUUAAAGGGGGUGUGAUGUGUGAUCAGAGAGAAUGGGAAACUGGGGAGCAGUGGGCAUCCCAGCACCCUUGGUACCACUGGUAGCAGCGACUCCCUCCAUUCCUCCUGUGUAGGGGCCAGUCCUGGGACAGACACUUGCUGAUUGCUUCAGCCUCUGUUUCUUGCUCUCAAUCCCCAAGGAGUGAUGUCCCUUCCUCCCAGCACCCACAAGCCAUGAGUGAUCAUGUGGCCCAAGGCAGUGCCCUCAUGCCCCCACAUGUACUCUCCAGGACCACCAUUCACGUUACAGUCUGAAUGUGUAUGGGGGCACCCUGGACCUCUCCGACCCUCACUGUCCCCCACUUGGAGAAGGGGGAUAACCCUUUCCAGGAGUAGCACUUGUGAGCAGGUUAUAAAAGUGUCAAGGCCAAGGCUCAUGGCCAGAUGUAAGGGCUGGGCCUUGUCUAGCCCCUUCCUCAGCCUCCCCACCCCUAGCCAG
RNAcentral lists this long non-coding RNA (1203 nucleotides) under Equus caballus (horse). Its description in RNAcentral is "lncRNA (ENSECAG00000058201.1)". The record is from RNAcentral. Lineage: Eukaryota; Metazoa; Chordata; Mammalia; Perissodactyla; Equidae.